CACUCCAAGGUGGCUUUGAUAGCCAACCUUAGAAAAACAUUGAGUAGCAAGAUCCCUAUGGUUUAACCGUAGGUCUCCCUUCCACUCAGCGGCCACGACCAUUGCUGCUGCUUAGCUUAAAAAUCAGGCCUACAAUCACACGCCAUAGGA
Alosa sapidissima (American shad) is the source of this 150-nucleotide long non-coding RNA. RefSeq lists it as uncharacterized. NCBI's taxonomy places the organism in Eukaryota, Metazoa, Chordata, Actinopteri, Clupeiformes, Clupeidae. The record is from RefSeq and is a predicted model, not a curated record. The transcript has 3 exons.